This is a long non-coding RNA of Pseudophryne corroboree (corroboree frog), 552 nucleotides long. RefSeq lists it as uncharacterized. The record is from RefSeq and is a predicted model, not a curated record. Lineage: Eukaryota; Metazoa; Chordata; Amphibia; Anura; Myobatrachidae. The transcript has 2 exons.
CUGUGUUUAAUGUCACAUGCUGGAAUGAGCCCCACUGUGACAUCACGAGGCAGCACAGCAAAGAACCAGCCUACAGGAAGCUACAGAGUAAGAACACAACAUCGAUGUUAAUGCAGAAGGUUCUCACUAGAGGCAACCAGGGCGGCUAGCGAUUAAACAAAAGCACUGAAAGAACAUAAUUACUGAGAGGACGACGAUGAGUAUGGAAGUGCUGCUCCUUAUAUUAGUCAGCAUGCACCCAUAUACAGCCAUGUUGUUCUCUGCAGUAGAACCGGAAGGAAGAAACAAUGAUGAUGAUGACAACACAAAGCAAGGGAUGGAGUUUACGGAAGACAUUUUCUUUGCAGAUUCAUCAUGGGAUGAGAGCGAGAACCUGAACAUGGUAGUGCCGCAAGAAAGCUCAGGUCACUGGAACCGAGGAUCACUCAUCUGUGUGCUGUGCAGCUACGCUACUUGUAUGCUGGCUCUUUUAUGAGAGACUCCAUGGUGGACCAGCUGGAGAAUGGAAAUGUUCCUCUUUUUCCUAUCGCUUAUUAAACACUCUAGAUGGUC